GACGAACGCUGGCGGCGUGCUUAACACAUGCAAGUCGAACGGAAAGGCCCUGCUUUUGUGGGGUGCUCGAGUGGCGAACGGGUGAGUAACACGUGAGUAACCUGCCCUUGACUUUGGGAUAACUUCAGGAAACUGGGGCUAAUACCGGAUAGGAGCUCCUGCUGCAUGGUGGGGGUUGGAAAGUUUCGGCGGUUGGGGAUGGACUCGCGGCUUAUCAGCUUGUUGGUGGGGUAGUGGCUUACCAAGGCUUUGACGGGUAGCCGGCCUGAGAGGGUGACCGGCCACUUGGGGAUUGGGUACCGGCCCGAACCCUACGGGAGGCCACAGUGGGGAAUUUUGCCACAUGGGCCGGAGCCCGAAUGAGGCACCCCCCGGUGGGGGAGGCGGCCUUUCGGUUGUAAACCGCUUUCGCCUGUGACGAAGCGUGAGUGACGGUAAUGGGUAAAGAAGCACCGGCUAACUACGUG
RNAcentral lists this ribosomal RNA (467 nucleotides) under uncultured bacterium. Its description in RNAcentral is "partial 16S ribosomal RNA". It matches the Rfam family "Bacterial small subunit ribosomal RNA", at positions 28 to 507 of the family's 1533-position model. The record is from RNAcentral.